This 624-nucleotide long non-coding RNA is filed under the name Ananas comosus (pineapple). Its description in RNAcentral is "long non-coding RNA (ACOM_LNC030535)". The record is from RNAcentral. Lineage: Eukaryota; Viridiplantae; Streptophyta; Magnoliopsida; Poales; Bromeliaceae.
UCAACACUCUGGUUCGGUCAAUGUCGCCCCGCAUUCAAUUCCUAGCACAGCAAAUAUAAUGCGAACCAAAUAGAACCUUAUUUUAUUUUGGGGCAAUUGCUUAUAUAUUCCUGAAAAGUUUUCGACUUUUCGAUUUACCCCUCUUAGAAGGCUAAUAUUGAAAAUACCCUUCUUACGUUCCAACAUAUUUCUAAUAUACCCCUAGAGUUAAAAUAUGGUAAUUAACUCUCUUAUCUCUAUAAAAUUACUAUUUUGCUCAUUCAAAUAUAUCCUUCCACCAUCACCGACUUUCUUCUUUGCCCUUAAAGUCAAGAGCACAAAAAGUAUUUUGACUUUUGGUCUUUUCAAAUAUACCCCUCUACCGUCACCAAUAUUUCUUAUUUGCCCUUAAAUUAAGAGCAAAAUUGGCAUUUUAAUUUUUUUUAACUGUGGUAGAUAUUUAACUCAUAUUUAGCUCAAGUUAACUUAACAGGAGAUAACUGUGGGAGCAUUUUGCAAUAACGGUGGAACAUAUAAAGGAUAUUUUAGAAAGAAAAAAAGUAGGGGUAAAUCGAAUAUUUUCAAAUGAGAGGUAUAUAGGCAAUUAUCUCUUUAUUUUAAUGGUGAAUUCCAUUUUAGUGAAAG